RNAcentral lists this ribosomal RNA (243 nucleotides) under uncultured bacterium. RNAcentral's name for it is "partial 16S ribosomal RNA". It matches the Rfam family "Bacterial small subunit ribosomal RNA", at positions 796 to 1041 of the family's 1533-position model. The record is from RNAcentral.
CACGCCGUAAACGAUGAGCACUAGGUGUCGGGGUCGCAAGACUUCGGUGCCGCAGUUAACGCAUUAAGUGCUCCGCCUGGGGAGUACGCACGCAAGUGUGAAACUCAAAGGAAUUGACGGGGACCCGCACAAGCAGCGGAGCAUGUGGUUUAAUUCGAAGCAACGCGAAGAACCUUACCAGGACUUGACAUCCCUCUGACAGUCCCUUAACCGGGAUCUCCUUCGGGCAGAGGUGACAGGUGG